UUUCUUGUAGUGUAGUGGUUAACAUAUUAGUCUUCAAAACUAAUGACAUAGGUUCGAGUCCUAUCGAGAGUG
Molecule: transfer RNA, 72 nt
Filed under: Genlisea aurea
Lineage: Eukaryota; Viridiplantae; Streptophyta; Magnoliopsida; Lamiales; Lentibulariaceae
Rfam family: tRNA
About the family: Transfer RNA (tRNA) molecules are approximately 80 nucleotides in length. Their secondary structure includes four short double-helical elements and three loops (D, anti-codon, and T loops).
Source: Rfam by way of RNAcentral